AUAUUUGCGCUUGGGGCAAUGACACGGCUAGUGAGGUUAUACCGAGGUGCAUCAAUUUUUGGUUGAAAACUAUUUCCAAACCCCCUCUGUGGCCCUCCGGUGCCAUUGAAAUUUUUUGGAAGGGCUCCCUCGUCCUCGGGCGAGGUGAAAGCC
Lolium rigidum is the source of this 153-nucleotide small nuclear RNA. RefSeq annotates it as U4 spliceosomal RNA. The transcript has a single exon. Lineage: Eukaryota; Viridiplantae; Streptophyta; Magnoliopsida; Poales; Poaceae. The record is from RefSeq and is a predicted model, not a curated record.